UACGUAGGGUGCAAGCGUUAAUCGGAAUUACUGGGCGUAAAGCGUGCGCAGGCGGCUUUGCAAGACAGAUGUGAAAUCCCCGGGCUUAACCUGGGAACUGCGUUUGAAACUGAAAGGCUAGAGUGUGGCAGAGGGGGGUGGAAUUCCACGUGUAGCAGUGAAAUGCGUAGAUAUGCGGAGGAACACCGAUGGCGAAGGCAAUCCCCUGGGCCUGCACUGACGCUCAUGCACGAAAGCGUGGGGAGCAAACAGG
RNAcentral lists this ribosomal RNA (253 nucleotides) under uncultured bacterium. RNAcentral describes it as "partial 16S ribosomal RNA". It matches the Rfam family "Bacterial small subunit ribosomal RNA", at positions 524 to 776 of the family's 1533-position model. The record is from RNAcentral.